Molecule: long non-coding RNA, 1592 nt
Organism: Lagopus leucura (white-tailed ptarmigan)
Lineage: Eukaryota; Metazoa; Chordata; Aves; Galliformes; Phasianidae
Exons: 3
Source: RefSeq, a predicted model, not a curated record
AGUUGGGCUGUGUGCCGGGGGCUCACUCUUUGCAUGGCACAGUGGGCCACCCAGGAAUGGACUAUCCACUCCCCCGAUCUGGGGCAAGGACGUGGUUGGAGAUACGGAAUGCAGUCAGACACAGGACUGUGAAUCUAAGUGGUUUCGACCCAGGCCCAGUGGUGGUGCACUGAGUGCUUCCUUCAGUGCCGAGCUCUCAGGAAGCACGAAUCGCUGCAGGUCUGAUGGCUGCCUUCCACAGCACAACAGUGAUGGGGAUAAGGAGCUCAUCCACCCUCCCGCCCUCGUUUCUCCUGGCUCUGCUGAAGAUGCUGACCUGAGCCCAGCAGCCAUUGCAGUCCCCAGCCUGGAUUGUGACCCAGUGUCUUUGCAGUGCAGCCCAGCCAAGCGGAGUCCGAGUGCCCGGCCAGCAGCAGCUCCACGAGGAGCGGGUCGGCAUCGCUGAGGAGCAGCUGAGCCUCUUGGAGGAGGGCUUAGAACCAGGCAGCCGGUCCCAGGCAGCGGGCAGCGCACACAGGGGUGGUGCAGUCACACUUCUCUCCAAAUUCGGUGCUUGAUUAAAUCCAAACAGAUCUUUAUUCUGUGAUGAGCAAACCAUGCUGUCUACCAAGUGAUGUCAAAAUAUUCUUUCUCGCCCUUCACUUCCCUUUCCUGCAUGUGAUACAGCAGCCCGCUGAUCAUCAGGGGCUCAAUUUGCCAUGAGGGAGUGUCAGAGGUCACUGAAGGCUUCGUUGGCUGUCAGAGGGCUCCACUGAUGAUCAGAGAUCUUCACUGAGCCCCCCUGAAGAUACCAAAGGCCAGAAGAAGAAGAAGGCAGCAGAACCUUAUGCUCGCACUGCAUACAAAUGCUACAGGAGCAGAAACAAACCGGGGAGCUCUGGGUUCCUCCCGGGGAGGCAAAACUGCACAGAGACACCCCAGCUGUGUUUGGCAGUGCCCUCCCUGCCUCCCCCGCUCCUCGUGUGAUCCCACUGCUGAGCCAGGAUCGAGCUGCCCAGUGCCGCAAAGCACCGUCCAGAGCUGGGCCGGGACCUCCUCCCCUUCCUCUCCUGCAGCUUGGCGUGCAGCCUCACCUCCUCCUGUGGCAGAGCUGCUGAUCCCACGCGUGCCAUCAGGAUGCUCCUCUAACCCAGAGCUCCUGCCCCCCCGCCAAGAAAAAGCAAACCAACCCCCCGCCGCCAGCACGGCCCCGCAGCAGGGAACGCACGCAGCUUCAUGCCGCUCCCCUUCACCCUACCUUAGGAUAGGUUAUUAUGUCCUACGUCAGAGACCAAAGGAGCACUGAUCUGGAAAUUGGUACGAAACACAGCAGCGUCACUUUAAAACGCAAGUUGUGUUUUUGUUGUCAUGGGUAUUACAGCCCAAAGGUUGUAAUAAAGUUCAUGCAAAGGAGGACAAAUUACAGGUGUUCCAUACACAAAAGCAAAGAGGAAAGGUGUGAGGGUGUUUCCCAAUGAGGAGUAAGAUUCCAGAAAGGGACACAUGCAGAGACCCCAGAGGGAUAUGGAGGCAAACACUAACUGCUACAGAAGCAAUGGUACAGAGAGAGAAUUCACUGCUAGGAGGAGCUCCCAGUCCAGUGAAGAAGAUUC